This 958-nucleotide ribosomal RNA is filed under the name Beauveria bassiana. RNAcentral's name for it is "eukaryotic LSU rRNA". The stretch from base 170 to 323 matches the Rfam family "5.8S ribosomal RNA". Lineage: Eukaryota; Fungi; Ascomycota; Sordariomycetes; Hypocreales; Cordycipitaceae. The record is from RNAcentral.
ACCGGGGAGCCGGCGGCCGGAGGAGAAGGUGACUGUGCACCUACCUAUCGUUGCUUCGGCGGACUCGCCCCAGCCCGGACGCGGACUGGACCGGCGGCCCGCCGGGGACCUCAAACUCUUGUAUUCCAGCAUCUUCUGAAUACGCCGCAAGGCAAAACAAAUGAAUCAAAACUUUCAACAACGGAUCUCUUGGCUCUGGCAUCGAUGAAGAACGCAGCGAAACGCGAUAAGUAAUGUGAAUUGCAGAAUCCAGUGAAUCAUCGAAUCUUUGAACGCACAUUGCGCCCGCCAGCAUUCUGGCGGGCAUGCCUGUUCGAGCGUCAUUUCAACCCUCGACCUCCCCUUGGGGAGGUCGGCGUUGGGGACCGGCAGCACACCGCCGGCCCUGAAAUGGAGUGGCGGCCCGUCCGCGGCGACCUCUGCGCAGUAAUACAGCUCGCACCGGGACCCCGACGCGGCCACGCCGUAAAACACCCAACUUCUGAACGUUGACCUCGAAUCAGGUAGGACUACCCGCUGAACUUAAGCAUAUCAAUAGGCCGGAGGAACAGGUGAACGUGCGGAGUCCCCCCCUAAUAAGAAGAAAUAUUGUGUGUCUUGCGAAACCCCCCCCCCACUGAUGUACCGGCAGUCUCCGGGACUAAUUUUGGACUCGCACUGCUGAAAUAGCCAAGGGAAAACAAUGAAAUCAAAUUUACACGGAUCCUUGGCUCUGGCAUCAAUUAAAAAAGCACCGACGAAUAAAUUGAUGCGGAAUUUGAAAAUCGGUGAAUCACCAAACUUUGUACACACAUUGCCGCGCCGUUCGGGCGGGAAUGCUGUCGGGGUACUCUCUCUGGGAGAGUCGGCGAGUGGGGACAGAGCAUACUCCUCAAAGAUAUAAAGAGAGCCUCUCAUGACUCGACAGAAAUAGCGGGACGGGUACAUAACGACCUCCUUAAAAGAUAAAUAUGUUAAG